UGAUUAAAGUCAGUGCCUUGAACAGACUUGCUUGACCACCUAACUCUCCUAUAGCUCAGACCUGCCUCCACUAUAGUUCAUCACAAUUACUGUUCUAUUUUCUUUAGAGAAUGUACCACCAUCUAAAAUCAUCUUAUUACUUUAAUUUUAAUGUCAGCCUUCUCUCAUGAGAAAGUAAGCAUUGUGAGGGCAGAGUCCUUUUCUUCUUAUUUACCUUGUGUUUUCCACCUUAGGACAGGACUUGGUACCUCAUAAGUACUCUGUAGACAGUUGCUGACAUCAUAGGAAAGCAGAUCUCAAAGUGUUAUCCAUGAGUACUUGUUAGUCCCUGAAACCCCUUCAGGGAGUUCAAGGGUCAAAACCACUUUAAUUUUCUCCCAAUGGAGUUGUCCAGAGACUACAUAACAUGUGAUACUACAACAGAAUGACUGCAGGAGUUGAUGGGAGAUAUUCAGUAAUGUAAAACCACGCCACUCUUCUUGCUAAAUGAUUUUAGUGUUGGGAAACAUAAUUAUUUUUUUAUAGAAGCACAGUAUGUAUUUUAACAUGCAAUGGCACAAUUACUGAUAUUUUAAUUGAUAAAUGUUUAAAUGUUUUCUCAGUUUUUAUUACCAAUACAGUAAACUUGAUAGAUAUAACCUACAAAAGCACUUUAGGAUCCUCAAUAAAUUUUAAGACUGCAUAGAAUUUUUUAGUCCAAAAAUUUGAAAAGCAUUGGAACUGAAUAUCACUAACUAGAUUCCUAAUUUUCCAAAGAGUCUCCAGUAGAAUGUUUUCCUCCAGGUAGAAGUGUCCCAAAAUAGCGUUUUCUCUUUCCCAAUUGCUUGUUUUGAUAUUCAUUAUUUAUGGGACAACUAUUUCUUUUUCCCAGCUUUUCAAAUCUAACAUUCUACCUUUUCCAUAAAAUCUUCUCCUUAAUUCUAGCACCAAAAGUUCUCUCUAUACAUAUUUUAAACACAAUUUAUUUAAUUGGCAAUCUGUAUUACUUAUCUACCCAAGAUUCCUAUAAACCUCUUUUGGGGCAUGAUCAUUCACAAACAGCACAAAAGGAGAGCAGAAUCUUGUCCUCAAUAAACUUUAUCUUAAAACCUAGAGUAUGGGAUGAUAAAGAUUAAAUUAGUACAACAGCACUAAGUUAACUCUCCAUAUUCACAAUUUGGGUCUUUUGAGAUUUACUACCUGAGGUAGCCAGCAUUCUCACCAUCACCUCCACCAAAGAUGUCCACAUUCUAAUCCUUGGAUCCUGAAAAUAUGUUGUUUAUAUGACAAAAGGGGUUUAUAAUUAAGGUUAUACAUCUUAAAAAAGGGAUAUUCGUGGAUUAUCUGAGUUCGCCCAAUCUAAUUGCACAAGUCCUUCAAAGAGCUUAAUCUAGAAGCUUAAGAGAGAUGACAGAAGGGAAAACCAGAGACAUCUGAAGCAUUAAAGGGACUUGAUAUGUCUAAGGGGAGGGAGAAGUGCGUGUGGAAAGCAUGAGAAGGAAAGAGGGUAGCCUCUAUGCAAAAUCCAGGCCACUACUGACAAUCAGCAAGGAAGCUGGACCUUAGUCUUACCACCAGGAACUGAACUCAGCCAAAAACCUGAAUGGGAUUGGAAACCAAUCUUUCUUCAGAGCCUCCAAAAAGCAAUGCACCUCUGCCAACAUCUUGAUUCUGGCUUAAGCAUAAGUCUGCUUAAAGGCACUGAGUAGACUUCUGACCCACAAAGGAAUGAGAUCAUAAAUUUGUGUUGUGUUAACCUAUUUGUGGUGAGUUUACAGCAACAAUAGGAAAUUAAUAUAGUAUCUCUAGUAUGAUAAUUUCAAAUAAUUUUUACCACAUAUAUAAAAUACAACCCAUAUCUUUUAAACCCUAUAUAAUGCACUCUUUCCACUCAACCUUCUGCCUUACUGCGCAUACAAACUAUGGACACAGUAGACAUGCUUGCAUGAUCAAAGACUAAGUAGAAACAGCAAUACAUAAUCACUCUUUUUAAAUUUUUGUUUCCUCUGUUUGUUCUAAGCAUAUGCUUGUCCUAUGACAAGGAUCCAUUUGCAAGGUUGUUGCAUGAAACUUUAUGCUUAAGCAUUUUGGUCAAUGAAGUUACAACUGAGUCCAAAGGGAUGCCAAAUCUGAAAUCAUCUCACUGUUAACAGUGUCAAAUGAGAUUGUUUCACCACCAGCUCCAUUUGGAAAAGUAACUAGCACCUGAUCGCCAGCUGAGUUUCAUGUAAUUUAGUUGUCAAAGUGAUGGAACACAACUCUUUCAUUUAAUUUAUAUGAAAUCAGUAUUGACUUGACUGUAUCCUCUGCCAGGCCAAGAGUAAUUUUUCUAUACAAGAUACUCUAUAAAUAGUGAGGCCAAAAACAAAGAAAAAAAGUUGAGGGGAAAUAAAAAGUAAGACAAAGAUGACAAGUUCUCUAGGUGUCCUAAAUUUAAACCAUUUCUUUUAUGCAGUAAAGUCAAAGUUCCUGUGACCUUGAUGCACUAGUAAUAAUACAACCAAGGUGAAAAGUCCUUGGAAUCCUUCUGCAUCUGGACCAUUAACUACGGGUUAAUAAAAUACACAUUUUAUUUCUACUGUAUGUCAAUUUGGUAGGGCAUAUCUUAGAGUAACAAAAUAAAGAUUGACUGCAUUUAUUGUUAUUCAGUCUCUUUAAAGAAAAAUGUGAGGAUAAGUUUUUACAGAGCAGAAAGAGCAGAAAGAAAUAACUCACAUUAAAAAAAAAAAAAAUCUGGAGUUUCCAUCAGGCUCAGUGGUGAUGAACCCAGCUAGUAUCCAUAAUCCCUGGCCUCACUCUGUGGGUUAAGGAUCCAGCAUUGCCCUGAGCUGUGCUGUAGGUCACAGACAAGGCUUGGAUCCCACCUUGCUGCGGCUAUGGCAUAGGCCAGCAGCUAUAGCUCCAAAUUGGCCACUAACCUGGGAACUCAUGUGCCACAGGUGCAGCCCUAAAAAUUAUCCAUCAUACGCAGUCUAUUUUUUUGAAUAGGUAAUAUUUUCCUAUUCUAAAAAUAUAAAACAUACAAAGAAAAAUAUCUCUCCAAUCUGUCUCUUAUUUGUCCAUUUUCCUUCUCAAACACCACCUCCUUCAAAGGUAACUUUAGUGGUAUUAUUAUUAUUAUCAUUAUUAUUAUUUUGAUUCUUCCAGAAUUGCUUCAAACAAAAAUUAAUAUAUUUUAGAUUAUUUUACCCAAUAACAUCUUUCAAAUGUAACAUCUACAAUCAUUCAGAAUAGUUCAGUAUAGAAUUCCUAAAAACCUUGUAGUAGGUCUCCAAAAAGAUCUGACAGUCAUGGAAUAUGCUUAUAAUAUAACCACACACCAUGAUGGCCCAGUACAUAAUUUACUUCAUUUGAUUUUCACAGGGGACAGCAAAUCUCAGGACCAUUUUACAGAUGAGGAUGUUGAGGCACAAGAAGGUUAAAUCUUUUGCCUGGCUUUAUAUAAAAAAUUUGGAGUUUGUAUUUCUGCCAAUUGUAUAUCAUUUAUACUAUACCCUAUUAAAUGGUUUAGUGGUUGAUUUUUCUAUAGUCAUGUAUUACUUUAUGCCAGUUUUAUGCACACAAACCAUUGGAUCACAAGAGAUUGAAAGGACCUGGGACCUCAUCUCAUCCAACCCAUUCAAUGUUGUAUCACACAAUAGCAUCCAUGUCAGUUCAAUGCUUAGAUGCUUCUGAUAGGUCAAAAACUCCAUUAAGGGUAGGAAACAUUUUCUCCUAAUCUUUUCUUUCUUCUGCCACAUUUGUAGUUAUACUUGGCAACAUAUGUGUAUGUUUUCCCAAUUAGAGUUGGUAUAGUGACUAUAAACAUCAUUCAUAUAGAGUUUCUCAUAGGAUCCUAAUGCUUGAUCAUAGUUGCUUUUUCAAUAUAAAAUAAGCAUUUGUUAAUAUUUAUCUUUAACUAUAUACCAAUGACUUACAAUGAUAGUUAUAAUGCCAUACUUUUUUAAGUUUAUUAUGAAAAGACUGUUUCACAGGAAAUAAGACUUAAAGGUAUUUUGAGGAGAAAGCAUUACAUGGUCAAGCAAGUUCUGGAAAUGUUACAUGGUCUUAGAAAUUCACUAUGCCCAUUAUUAUGUACAAAGCUCUAAGAAGUGAGUAAAACCUUGUUUAAUUCAGGGUUUUCUAAACAUAUCUGAAUAUGGAAUCCCCUUUCUAAUAGCAUGCAUGAGCUUCCAACAGACCAUUUUCAUGAACCACACUAAGGGAAAAUGUUAUAAAAGAUGUUUGUCUUAAAAGAAAUUGCAGUAAAAAAAAAAAGUCAAUUGUAUUCAGCAUGAGUAAAACACAAAAGACAAGGCAUAUCUGAAAGAAUGACAUCAAUAGCUCAGUUCUACUUUACAAGCUUUAAAAAACUAUACUGUUCAUCUUCUUCAUAUAACUCAGAGAAGAAUAGGGAAUUGCUUUUCUAUCCAUGUAAAUAUAUGCAUAGCUUUCCUUGAAUUUAUAAUGCUUUGAACUCCAUAGCUCAAAGAAUUUAAAACAAUGAUAUUCCAUUAUAUUUUCUUGAUUUUUUUAAUGUCUCUUAGCCAAAAGAUCACAUGUUGCUGUAUUUACAUUGUAUGGUUAUUUGCUUUUUAGUUAUCUCCUCAGGUGAGUUCACUAAAAUAAAUAACUAUUGCUCAUAUAUUUAGCUUUUUUAAUCAGACAGUUUUUUAUGCCAGUAUAUAAUAUAAAAGUAAUAUUUAGUCAUUGUUACUAUUAUAAUUAUUUCCCUAAUGUUAAAAAAAAUCACAAGUAUCUUUUCGGAGUUCUUUAUUAACUCUGACUGAAAUCUCCGACCAAAUGCCCCUUUUGUUGUAUUGUAUUUUCCUCCUCAUUAAGAACAAGGUAUGAACAAGAGAUAACAGCUAAAUCUCCAGUAGGAGGAAAAAAAAUAAAACCUAUUCAAACAAACAUACAGACAAAUAAACAGCUUGUGACAGUCUCAAAUGCUUUGGUCAAGCAUUCUACUAUUACUGUUAAGAUUGCUCAUUUCAUUUAAUUGUAAAUAAGGUAGAUUUUACAGCAAAGCAAAAUCAUAAUAGAAGCUAAAUCUUCCCAAGGUCAAACAGUUCUAAGAAUGUCUCCACCUCAGGGCAGUCAACUGAGAAAAAGCAAAUACCAUUUCUAAUAACAAGGGGUGGGGCAGAGGGAGAAGCAAGACUAAAACGUACCUGUCAAGAAGUUGUAAUAUGCUUAAUAAAACCAGGUAAUUGUUUACUGAUGGCUGUAGUCAUGCAUAAAUAUAAACUGAUUUCUUUACUAUGCAGUCCAAAGUAUCAAGAUGACAAUUAAAAGAAGGGAGGCACCUUGUUUUAAAAGUUUUAUUUUAGGUAUGGGAAAAAGAAAAGAGAAAGAUGUAUCAAUACCAUCUUCUGUAAGUUUUGUUUAUAUGUUAUAAUCUAUUUGGAGAUGUUUCAUAUCACAUCCGUUUUGGUGAUCAUGGUUGUUCUAAUAGACCCCUAAGUAGGGAAACCCAUGGAGUGACAUGAAGGUCAUUUAGGGUAUGGAGCCGCUCUAGAAGAAAAUUUAGCGUAAAAUGGCAACUUAAUUCAGCUCAGAGCUAUGCAACAAUCAGGAUGGCUAGCUAUGGUUGAGGCUUACUCUGCGUCAAGCUCCACAUGAAGAAUUUAACAUAGAUAGAAUACCUACUGUGGUCCCAUGAACAGGCCUGUGAGAUAAACUAUACGAAACCAUUUUACAGGUAAGAAAAUAGAAACAAUAAAUAAGAAAACUGGCUAAGAUCAUUUAGCUACUAGAUGGUAAAAUUAAGAUUAGAACCUAGAGCUUGGGGUUUUAAGCUUUACUGUAGAAUAAAAUGAAAUGAAAAUUAAAACAUAAUGCAAAACUAUGUAGAGACCAAAAUGUCUACAUGGAAGCAAACUUUGAGUUUUAUAUAUGUGCCUUAUAUAAAUUCUGGUGGUUUUAAUGGAUUCCACUGUUCACAAAAUUGGCUUGUUACAGUGAUAUAUAAACGGGAAACUUUCUAGUUAUAGAAAUGUGUAAAUUGGAGUUCCCGUCGUGGCUCAGUGGCUAACGAAUCGACUAGGAACCAUGAGGUUGCGAGUUCGAUCCCUGGCCUUGCUCAGUGGGUUGGGGAUCUGGCGUUGCCAUGAGCUGUGGUGUAAGUUGCAGACGUGGCUCUGAUCCUGUGUUGCUGUGGCUCUGGCAAAGCCCGGCAGCUACAGCUCUGAUUAGACCCCUAGCCUGGGAACCUCCAUAUGCCG
RNAcentral lists this long non-coding RNA (6185 nucleotides) under Sus scrofa (pig). Its description in RNAcentral is "lncRNA (ENSSSCG00035032720.1)". Lineage: Eukaryota; Metazoa; Chordata; Mammalia; Artiodactyla; Suidae. The record is from RNAcentral.